Molecule: transfer RNA, 68 nt
Filed under: Ifremeria nautilei
Lineage: Eukaryota; Metazoa; Mollusca; Gastropoda; Provannidae
Description: tRNA-Ser
Source: RNAcentral
AGAAAAAACUUGGAGUAAAGCAGGGCUGCUAACUUUGCUUUGGGUGGUUCGAUUUCAUCCUUUUUCUU